CAGGUGGUGCAUGGUUGUCGUCAGCUCGUGUCGUGAGAUGUUGGGUUAAGUCCCGCAACGAGCGCAACCCUUAAGCUUAGUUGCCAUCAUUAAGUUGGGCACUCUAAGUUGACUGCCGGUGACAAACCGGAGGAAGGUGGGGAUGACGUCAAAUCAUCAUGCCCCUUAUGAUUUGGGCUACACACGUGCUACAAUGGACAAUACAAAGGGCAGCGAAACCGCGAGGUCAAGCAAAUCCCAUAAAGUUGUUCUCAGUUCGGAUUGUAGUCUGCAACUCGACUACAUGAAGCUGGAAUCGCUAGUAAUCGUAGAUCAGCAUGCUACGGUGAAUACGUUCCCGGGUCUUGUACACACCGCCCGUCACACCACGAGAGUUUGUAACACCCGAAGCCGGUGGAGUAACCUUUUAGGAGCUAGCCGUCGAAGGUGGGACAAAUGAUUGGGGUGAAGUCGUAACAAGGUAGCCGUAUCGGAAGGUGCGGCUGGAUCA
Molecule: ribosomal RNA, 490 nt
Filed under: Staphylococcus aureus
Lineage: Bacteria; Bacillati; Bacillota; Bacilli; Caryophanales; Staphylococcaceae
Description: bacterial SSU rRNA
Rfam family: Bacterial small subunit ribosomal RNA
Source: RNAcentral